CCGCAUGAGACCACAGAAUCGCAUGAUAUAGGGGUCAAAGAUUUAUCGGUGUAAGAAGGGCUCGCGUCUGAUUAGCUAGUUGGAAGGGUAAAGGCCUACCAAGGCGACGAUCAGUAGCCGGUCUGAGAGGAUGAACGGCCACAUUGGAACUGAGACACGGUCCAAACUCCUACGGGAGGCAGCAGUGGGGAAUAUUGCACAAUGGGGGGAACCCUGAUGCAGCGACGCCGCGUGAGCGAAGAAGGUUUUCGAAUCGUAAGGCUCUGUCCUAUGAGAAGAUAAUGACGGUAUCAUAGGAGGAAGCCCCGGCUAAAUACGUGCCAGCAGCCGCGGUAAUACGUAUGGGGCGAGCGUUGUCCGGAAUUAUUGGGCGUAAAGGGUACGUAGGCGGUUUUUUAAGUCAGGUGUGAAAGCGUGAGGCUUAACCUCAUUAAGCACUUGAAACUGGAAGACUUGAGUGAAGGAGAGGAAAGUGGAAUUCCUAGUGUAGCGGUGAAAUGCGUAGAUAUUAGGAGGAAUACCGGUGGCGAAGGCGACU
Molecule: ribosomal RNA, 538 nt
Filed under: uncultured Clostridium sp.
Lineage: Bacteria; Bacillati; Bacillota; Clostridia; Eubacteriales; Clostridiaceae
Description: bacterial SSU rRNA
Rfam family: Bacterial small subunit ribosomal RNA
Source: RNAcentral